Molecule: ribosomal RNA, 485 nt
Filed under: uncultured bacterium
Lineage: Bacteria
Description: partial 16S ribosomal RNA
Rfam family: Bacterial small subunit ribosomal RNA
Source: RNAcentral
GACGAACGCUGGCGGCGUGCUUAACACAUGCAAGUCGAACGGUGAAAGCGGAGCUUGCUCCGCUGGAUCAGUGGCGAACGGGUGAGUAACACGUGGGCAACCUGCCCCUCACUUCGGGAUAACUUCGGGAAACCGGGGCUAAUACCGGAUAUGACCUCCUUGGGCAUCCUUGGAGGUGGAAAGUUUUUCGGUGAGGGAUGGGCCCGCGGCCUAUCAGCUUGUUGGUGAGAUAGUGGCUCACCAAGGCGACGACGGGUAGCCGGCCUGAGAGGGCGACCGGCCACACUGGGACUGAGACACGGCCCAGACUCCUACGGGAGGCAGCAGUGGGGAAUAUUGCGCAAUGGGCGAAAGCCUGACGCAGCAACGCCGCGUGCGGGAUGACGGCCUUCGGGUUGUAAACCGCUUUCAGCAGGGAAGAAGCCGCAAGGUGACGGUACCUGCAGAAGAAGCACCGGCUAACUACGUGCCAGCAGCCGCCGUAA